Molecule: ribosomal RNA, 404 nt
Filed under: Actinomycetes bacterium
Lineage: Bacteria; Bacillati; Actinomycetota; Actinomycetes
Description: Actinobacteria bacterium partial 16S ribosomal RNA
Rfam family: Bacterial small subunit ribosomal RNA
Source: RNAcentral
UGGGGAAUAUUGGACAAUGGGCGCAAGCCUGAUCCAGCCAUGCCGCGUGAGUGAUGAAGGCCCUAGGGUUGUAAAGCUCUUUCACCGGUGAAGAUAAUGACGGUAACCGGAGAAGAAGACCCGGCUAACUUCGUGCCAGCAGCCGCGGUAAUACGAAGGGGGCUAGCGUUGUUCGGAUUUACUGGGCGUAAAGCGCACGUAGGCGGACUUUUAAGUCAGAGGUGAAAUCCCGGGGCUCAACCCCGGAACUGCCUUUGAUACUGGAAGUCUUGAGUAUGGUAGAGGUGAGUGGAAGUCCGAGUGUAGAGGUGAAAUUCGUAGAUAUUCGGAGGAACACCAGUGGCGAAGGCGGCUCACUGGACCAUUACUGACGCUGAGGUGCGAAAGCGUGGGGAGCAAACAGG